Molecule: ribosomal RNA, 253 nt
Filed under: uncultured bacterium
Lineage: Bacteria
Description: partial 16S ribosomal RNA
Rfam family: Bacterial small subunit ribosomal RNA
Source: RNAcentral
UACGAAGGGGGCAAGCGUUGUUCGGAAUUACUGGGCGUAAAGGGCGCGUAGGCGGCCGAUCAAGUCAGGCGUGAAAUUCCCGGGCUCAACCUGGGGGCUGCGCUUGAUACUGAUUGGCUUGAAUGCGGGAGAGGAUAGUGGAAUUCCCAGUGUAGAGGUGAAAUUCGUAGAUAUUCGCAAGAACACCAGUGGCGAAGGCGGCUUACUGGUCCGGUUCUGACGCUGAGGCGCGAGAGCGUGGGGAGCGAACAGG